AUAUAGGGGGAAACGAUAUCAUUUACCUGAUUGUCAUCGAGGUAAUCAUCAAAUAUCUGGAAAAAAAGAAACCUUUAAUCAUGCCCAUUCUUCGUUACGCUCUGUGAUUGAACGAACAUUUAGAGUGUGGAAAAAAAAUGGUCAAUAUUAAGAGAUAUUCCAAGUUAUUCAUUCAACAAUCAAGUUUUAAUAGUUAUUACAACAAUGGUUUUGCAUAAUUACAUUCGAAGACAUGCUUGGUCAAAUGAUGAGAAUUUUCGACAAUUUGAGAAUAUACCCGACAUGCCAAUCUCUUCAGGCCAUUUUGAUAAAGGUGAAUUGAGUUUUUCUAACAGAGAAAGUGACCUUGAAAUCACGAUGUUAAGGGAAACCAUUGCAACUAGUUUAAUGAAUCCAUAUUUGUAAAAACAUUUUGUAUCAUAACUUAAUUUCUAGUAAUAAUGAAACUUGUUAUGUCUUAUGUUACUAUAUUUUUUUUAUUAAAAAUCAUUUGUUUAGAUACUUCAAAUUUUGAUCAAAGUAUAAUGUUACUAUUUGUGAAAAUAAUAUUUAUCAUUGUUAUAAAAAAAUAUUUAACUAUAAAAAAUUAAAAAUAAUUAUCAUUUUAUCUAAUAAAUAAUUUAAAUUGAUUAUAUAAUUCAUUAAAAUAUUAGAAGAUACAUUUUAAUAUUUUAUUAAAUGAAUUUAUAAAUUCACAUAUUUUAAUAAUUUUAAAAAAGUAAAAUAAUUUUAAAAAAUUCUAUUAUAUAUCAAUUCUAAUCUGAUGUCUUUAAUAGUUAUUUUUUAUUCUCACCUCGCCGUUACAGUUGCGUUUGAAUCUAAACACACAUUCCAUCAUUAUUUUUAAUCUCACCGCUACAAUAUCUAAUCUCAUCGCUACAUUAACUAAUCUUACCGUUACUGUUAUUUUUAAUUUCACCGGAGAUAAACACACCGCUCAUCCAAACUAAGGCUAAAGAAAGUAUUAUCUAAAGUAUUUUUUAAAAGUGAUAUGUUAAAUCAGUCAGUCAGAUAGUCACUAUUAAUUAUUAAUAAUAACAAAUCUGUUACUCUAUAAAACUCACAGUUCUUCAGAAGGAGGACACCAAAAUCGAAUAUGAGUGAUCCUUUUGCUUGGUUAAUGGAGGAGUGCAAGAUGUACUCUGAGGAGUCCGGUUUACAACGCUGCUCCUAUUCCAAUCCCUCCGACUCCGUAUCCGGUUCUCCGGAUAUGCCUGAUGCCCCGCUCGGUUCCACCGCCGUCGCAACUUUUCCUCCUCCUAAAUCACCGGAAGGUCCACUGCCGAAUGGUCAACCCAAUCUUCCCACCCCUCCUGAGUUCAACUCUACCCCCACCUGCGACGAUAACUGCAAUGAUGAUCGGAGGAUCGAGAAAUCUGAUGAGAAGGGUUCGAACUCGAGUGCAAUGAAGGGGGUAAAUGAGAGAAAACGGGCAUUGCCUUCUUGGGCUUACCAGAAGGUGGAAGAUGAUGGGGCUGUUGAUGAGAAACUAAAGGGCAGUGAAUCGGAGUUGCCUUCUCCGCUGGCUAAAGGGAAAGUUGCCGAGGAUCUGGAGGUUAAUGAAAGGAAGUUGCCUUCACUAGCUAAUGGGAGUGGAGUAGAUAAUGAGAAGGCUGACCAGGAAAUGGUCGUUAACGGAAGGAAUUCGGUCCAUUCUGGUAUGUGUUCAAAUGGUCUGAGUGAGAAUGUUGUGGAAUUUACUAUUUUGGAUGUGUUGCGCCACCUGGGAAACGAUGAUGAUAAUGAGCUGAGGCUAAGUACCCUUAGUAUUUUGGAGGUUGCAGAGAGAAAAUGGGGUAAAUUUUAAUUGAUAGGUCGCAGGAGGGAUAUUAAGUAAAAACUUGAGUUUGUGUGUGCUAGAUGGUUUUCUUUUUGUUGUUUUAGUUCUGUGCUAGGAAACAAAUGGAAGGGAAAAGGCUUGAAUAUUCAGAAGGUAAUUGUAUGAAGGCCAUUUUUGUUGCAGGUAAAUUGGAAUAUUUAAGCCUAUAUGAAAGAUGUUUCAUAGUUAAAGUUCAUGCUUUAUAUGGAGGGAUUACUUUGCUUGUAUAAAUGCAAAAUUUGAAAUGUUAAAAGCAUGGAAUUAUUUUUGCUUUCUAACUCUGAUUGCUGAAGAUGUUUUAUGAGUCUUUUACUUUAGUGUGUGUGACAAUGACCCGUUUCAUCCAUUGGUGUGCUUGUGCACGCAUGUGUUGAUGCCUUAAUUGGUGGUCGAGCGAUAAAUGGAAACUGACCAUUAAAGCAAUAUCUAGGAUUUGUUGGUUUGAAGUUAAGCCUAAAAAGUUCAGGGCCUUGGAUGAAAAUAGUGAUUUGUGAUAACCAUUUUGUCAAACCAGGGAAGAGGUGAAAGGGUUUUUAUUUUUCUCCUCCAUCAAUUAAGGGAUAUGUAGUAUUUAAAGUACUUGCAUCUGCAUCAAAGUACAGUUUAGUUCCCGGCAUCCGCUUUGGUAGGCCAAGCAAAAGGUUGACUACCCUGGCCUAAAAAACAGCCAUCUGUCUUAUUUUUGUGCCCAACAUUGUC
RNAcentral lists this long non-coding RNA (2518 nucleotides) under Gossypium raimondii (Peruvian cotton). RNAcentral's name for it is "long non-coding RNA (GRAI_LNC003167)". The record is from RNAcentral. Lineage: Eukaryota; Viridiplantae; Streptophyta; Magnoliopsida; Malvales; Malvaceae.